GGUUAAGCGACUAAGCGUACACGGUGGAUGCCCUGGCAGUCAGAGGCGAUGAAGGACGUGCUAAUCUGCGAAAAGCGUCGGUAAGGUGAUAUGAACCGUUACAGCCGGCGAUGUCCGAAUGGGGAAACCCAGUGCAAUUCGUUGCACUAUCGUUAACUGAAUACAUAGGUUAACGAGGCGAACCGGGGGAACUGAAACAUCUAAGUACCCCGAGGAAAAGAAAUCAACCGAGAUUCCCCCAGUAGCGGCGAGCGAACGGGGAGCAGCCCAGAGUCUGAAUCAGCUUGUGUGUUAGUGGAACGGUCUGGAAAGUCCGACGGUACAGGGUGAUAGUCCCGUACACCAAAAUGCACAGGCUGUGAACUCGAAGAGUAGGGCGGGACACGUGGUAUCCUGUCUGAAUAUGGGGGGACCAUCCUCCAAGGCUAAAUACUCCUGACUGACCGAUAGUGAACCAGUACCGUGAGGGAAAGGCGAAAAGAACCCCGGCGAGGGGAGUGAAAAAGAACCUGAAACCGUGUACGUACAAGCAGUGGGAGCACCUUCGGGUGUGACUGCGUACCUUUUGUAUAAUGGGUCAGCGACUUAUAUUCUGUAGCAAGGUUAACCGUAUAGGGGAGCCGCAGGGAAACCGAGUCUUAACUGGGCGUUAAGUUGCAGGGUAUAGACCCGAAACCCGGUGAUCUAGCCAUGGGCAGGUUGAAGGUUGGGUAACACUAACUGGAGGACCGAACCGACUAAUGUUGAAAAAUUAGCGGAUGACUUGUGGCUGGGGGUGAAAGGCCAAUCAAACCGGGAGAUAGCUGGUUCUCCCCGAAAGCUAUUUAGGUAGCGCCUCGUGAAUUCAUCUUCGGGGGUAGAGCACUGUUUCGGCUAGGGGGUCAUCCCGACUUACCAACCCGAUGCAAACUACGAAUACCGAAGAAUGUUAUCACGGGAGACACACGGCGGGUGCUAACGUCCGUCGUGAAGAGGGAAACAACCCAGACCGCCAGCUAAGGUCCCAAAGUCAUGGUUAAGUGGGAAACGAUGUGGGAAGGCACAGACAGCCAGGAUGUUGGCUUAGAAGCAGCCAUCAUUUAAAGAAAGCGUAAUAGCUCACUGGUCGAGUCGGCCUGCGCGGAAGAUGUAACGGGGCUAAACCAUGCACCGAAGCUGCGGCAGCGACACUAUGUGUUGUUGGGUAGGGGAGCGUUCUGUAAGCCUGCGAAGGUGACUGUGAGGGUGCUGGAGGUAUCAGAAGUGCGAAUGCUGACAUAAGUAACGAUAAAGCGGGUGAAAAGCCCGCUCGCCGGAAGACCAAGGGUUCCUGUCCAACGUUAAUCGGGGCAGGGUGAGUCGACCCCUAAGGCGAGGCCGAAAGGCGUAGUCGAUGGGAAACAGGUUAAUAUUCCUGUACUUGGUGUUACUGCGAAGGGGGGACGGAGAAGGCUAUGUUAGCCGGGCGACGGUUGUCCCGGUUUAAGCAUGUAGGCUGGUUGUCCAGGCAAAUCCGGAUAAUCAAGGCUGAGGUGUGAUGACGAGGCACUACGGUGCUGAAGUAACAAAUGCCCUGCUUCCAGGAAAAGCCUCUAAGCAUCAGGUAACAUUAAAUCGUACCCCAAACCGACACAGGUGGUCAGGUAGAGAAUACCAAGGCGCUUGAGAGAACUCGGGUGAAGGAACUAGGCAAAAUGGUGCCGUAACUUCGGGAGAAGGCACGCUGGUGUGUAGGUGAAGUCCCUGCGGAUGGAGCUGAGACCAGUCGAAGAUACCAGCUGGCUGCAACUGUUUAUUAAAAACACAGCACUGUGCAAACACGAAAGUGGACGUAUACGGUGUGACGCCUGCCCGGUGCCGGAAGGUUAAUUGAUGGGGUUAUCCGUAAGGAGAAGCUCUUGAUCGAAGCCCCGGUAAACGGCGGCCGUAACUAUAACGGUCCUAAGGUAGCGAAAUUCCUUGUCGGGUAAGUUCCGACCUGCACGAAUGGCGUAAUGAUGGCCAGGCUGUCUCCACCCGAGACUCAGUGAAAUUGAACUCGCUGUGAAGAUGCAGUGUACCCGCGGCAAGACGGAAAGACCCCGUGAACCUUUACUAUAGCUUGACACUGAACAUUGAGCCUUGAUGUGUAGGAUAGGUGGGAGGCUUUGAAGCGUGGACGCCAGUCUGCGUGGAGCCAACCUUGAAAUACCACCCUUUAAUGUUUGAUGUUCUAACGUUGGCCCCUUACCGGGGUUGCGGACAGUGUCUGGUGGGUAGUUUGACUGGGGCGGUCUCCUCCCAAAGCGUAACGGAGGAGCACGAAGGUUAGCUAAUCCUGGUCGGACAUCAGGAGGUUAGUGCAAUGGCAUAAGCUAGCUUGACUGCGAGCGUGACGGCGCGAGCAGGUGCGAAAGCAGGUCAUAGUGAUCCGGUGGUUCUGAAUGGAAGGGCCAUCGCUCAACGGAUAAAAGGUACUCCGGGGAUAACAGGCUGAUACCGCCCAAGAGUUCAUAUCGACGGCGGUGUUUGGCACCUCGAUGUCGGCUCAUCACAUCCUGGGGCUGAAGUAGGUCCCAAGGGUAUGGCUGUUCGCCAUUUAAAGUGGUACGCGAGCUGGGUUUAGAACGUCGUGAGACAGUUCGGUCCCUAUCUGCCGUGGGCGCUGGAGAAUUGAGGGGGGCUGCUCCUAGUACGAGAGGACCGGAGUGGACGCAUCACUGGUGUUCGGGUUGUCAUGCCAAUGGCACUGCCCGGUAGCUAAAUGCGGAAGAGAUAAGUGCUGAAAGCAUCUAAGCACGAAACUUGCCCCGAGAUGAGUUCUCCCUGAGACUUUAAGUCUCCUGAAGGAACGUUAAAGACGAUGACGUUGAUAGGCCGGGUGUGUAAGCGCAGCGAUGCGUUGAGCUAACCGGUACUAAUGAACCGUGAGGCUUAACCUU
This 2900-nucleotide ribosomal RNA is filed under the name Klebsiella pneumoniae. Its description in RNAcentral is "23S ribosomal RNA". It matches the Rfam family "Bacterial large subunit ribosomal RNA". Lineage: Bacteria; Pseudomonadati; Pseudomonadota; Gammaproteobacteria; Enterobacterales; Enterobacteriaceae. The record is from RNAcentral.